GAUGAACGCUGGCGGCGUGCCUAAUACAUGCAAGUCGAGCGAACGGACGAGAAGCUUGCUUCUCUGAUGUUAGCGGCGGACGGGUGAGUAACACGUGGAUAACCUACCUAUAAGACUGGGAUAACUUCGGGAAACCGGAGCUAAUACCGGAUAAUAUUUUGAACCGCAUGGUUCAAAAGUGAAAGACGGUCUUGCUGUCACUUAUAGAUGGAUCCGCGCUGCAUUAGCUAGUUGAUAAGGUAACGGCUUACCAAGGCAACGAUGCAUAGCCGACCUGAGAGGGUGAUCGGCCACACUGGAACUGAGACACGGUCCAGACUCCUACGGGAGGCAGCAGUAGGGAAUCUUCCGCAAUGGGCGAAAGCCUGACGGAGCAACGCCGCGCGAGUGAUGAAGGUCUUCGGAUCGUAAAACUCUGUUAUUAGGGAAGAACAUAUGUGUAAGUAACUGUGCACAUCUUGACGGUACCUAAUCAGAAAGCCACGGCUAACUACGUG
RNAcentral lists this ribosomal RNA (497 nucleotides) under uncultured bacterium. Its description in RNAcentral is "partial 16S ribosomal RNA". It matches the Rfam family "Bacterial small subunit ribosomal RNA", at positions 28 to 507 of the family's 1533-position model. The record is from RNAcentral.